RNAcentral lists this transfer RNA (104 nucleotides) under Hypoxylon rubiginosum. RNAcentral describes it as "tRNA-Gly". It matches the Rfam family "tRNA". From Rfam's summary of the family: Transfer RNA (tRNA) molecules are approximately 80 nucleotides in length. Their secondary structure includes four short double-helical elements and three loops (D, anti-codon, and T loops). The record is from RNAcentral. Lineage: Eukaryota; Fungi; Ascomycota; Sordariomycetes; Xylariales; Hypoxylaceae.
GCAUCCAUGGAGCAGUAGUUAGCUCAUUCCUCUCCCAUUCUUACCGCCGAUGGUCGAGUGGUGUGGUCAAAGGAAAGACCCGGGUGCAAAUCCCGGUGGAUGCA